UACGUAGGGGGCUAGCGUUGUCCGGAUUUAUUGGGCGUAAAGAGCGUGUAGGCGGCCAGGUAGGUCUGGUGUGAAAACUCGAGGCUUAACCUCGAGAUGUCAUCGGAAACCAUCUGGCUAGAGUCCGGAAGAGGAGAGUGGAAUUCCUGGUGUAGCGGUGGAAUGCGCAGAUAUCAGGAGGAACACCUAUAGCGAAGGCAGCUCGCUGGGACGACACUGACGCUGAGACGCGAAAGCGUGGGGAGCGAACAGG
This 253-nucleotide ribosomal RNA is filed under the name uncultured bacterium. Its description in RNAcentral is "partial 16S ribosomal RNA". It matches the Rfam family "Bacterial small subunit ribosomal RNA", at positions 524 to 776 of the family's 1533-position model. The record is from RNAcentral.